This 72-nucleotide transfer RNA is filed under the name Dipodomys ordii (Ord's kangaroo rat). It matches the Rfam family "tRNA". Rfam says of the family: Transfer RNA (tRNA) molecules are approximately 80 nucleotides in length. Their secondary structure includes four short double-helical elements and three loops (D, anti-codon, and T loops). Lineage: Eukaryota; Metazoa; Chordata; Mammalia; Rodentia; Heteromyidae. The record is from Rfam by way of RNAcentral.
GGGAAGGUGGCUCAGUGGUAGAGUGCUUGCCUUGCAUACAUGAGGCCCUGGGUUCGAUUCCUUACCACCACA